RNAcentral lists this ribosomal RNA (406 nucleotides) under uncultured bacterium. RNAcentral's name for it is "partial 16S ribosomal RNA". It matches the Rfam family "Bacterial small subunit ribosomal RNA", at positions 30 to 526 of the family's 1533-position model. The record is from RNAcentral.
AUUGAACGCUGGCGGCAGGCCUAACACAUGCAAGUCGAACGAGUGGCGGACGGGUGAGUAAUGUCUGGGCAACUGCCUGAUGGAGGGGGAUAACUACUGGAAACGGUAGCUACUACCGCAUACUAUCAGAUGUGCCGACAUGGGAUUAGCUUGUGGGUGGGGUAACGGCUCACAAAGGCGACGAUCCCUAGCUGGCCUGAGAGGAUGACCGGCCACACUGGAACUGAGACACGGUCCAGACUCCUACGGGAGGCAGCAGUAGGGAAUAUUCGGCAAUGGACGAAAGCCUGAUCCAGCAAUGCCGCGUGUGUGAAGAAGGUUUUCGGGUUGUAAAGCACUGUUGGUAGAGAAGCGGUACCCGCAGAGGAAGCCCCGGCUAACUCCGUGCCAGCAGCCGCGGUAAUAC